RNAcentral lists this ribosomal RNA (518 nucleotides) under uncultured Chloroflexota bacterium. RNAcentral describes it as "bacterial SSU rRNA". It matches the Rfam family "Bacterial small subunit ribosomal RNA", at positions 355 to 888 of the family's 1533-position model. The record is from RNAcentral. Lineage: Bacteria; Bacillati; Chloroflexota.
UAGGGAAUAUUGGGCAAUGGACGAAAGUCUGACCCAGCAACGCCGCGUGUGCGACGAAGGUCUUCGGAUCGUAAAGCACUUUUCUGGGAGAUGAGAAAGGACAGUAUCCCAGGAAUAAGUCUCGGCUAACUACGUGCCAGCAGCCGCGGUAAAACGUAGGAGACGAGCGUUAUCCGGAUUUACUGGGCGUAAAGCGCGUGCAGGCGGCUUGGCAAGUUGGAUGUGAAAUCUCCCGGCUCAACUGGGAGGGGUCGUUCAAAACUACCGAGCUAGAGGAUGGUAGAGGAAGGUGGAAUUCCCGGUGUAGUGGUGAAAUGCGUAGAUAUCGGGAGGAACACCAGUGGCGAAAGCGACCUUCUGGACCAUUCCUGACGCUCAGACGCGAAAGCUAGGGGAGCGAACGGGAUUAGAGACCCCGGUAGUCCUAGCUGUAAACGAUGCAAACUUGGCGUCGGUGGGUUAAAAACCAUCGGUGCCGUAGCUAACGCGAUAAGUUUGCCGCCUGGGGACUACGGCCG